Molecule: long non-coding RNA, 233 nt
Filed under: Phoenix dactylifera (date palm)
Lineage: Eukaryota; Viridiplantae; Streptophyta; Magnoliopsida; Arecales; Arecaceae
Description: long non-coding RNA (PDAC_LNC018456)
Source: RNAcentral
GGCCCUGUUUGGGGGAGCUGUUGGCAGUAGAGCUGUUAGAAGUAGAGCUGUCUGAAGUAGAGCUAUCUGAAGUAGAGCUGUUAUAAAAAGUUGUUUGCUGUUUGGUAAUUACAUUCGUAAAGUGCUGUGGUACUUUGUUUUGUGUUUGGUAAACAAACUGAGAAAGUACUUUUGCAUGACAAAAUUACUAUAAAAGACAUUGCAUGGUAUUAUACAACAGAACAUAAUAAAAC